UCCCUCUCUCAGAGGAUAAAGAGGGGAAAGGAGAGAUGAGGGGAGGCUCUGCUCAGCUGUGGGACACAGAAGUCAGGACCAGGGAUGACGAGCACCAUGGCCUGGUCCCCUCUCCUCCUCAUUCUCCUCGUUCACUGCACAGGGUCCUGGGCCCAGUCUGUGCUGACUCAGCCGCUCUCCGUGUCUGCAGCCCUGGGCCAGAAGGUCACCAUCUCCUGCACUGGAAGCAGCUCCAACAUCGGUGAUAAUUAUGUGAGCUGGUUCCAACAGCUCCCAGGAACAGCCCCCAGAACCGUCAUCUAUAGUAGUAACAACCGAACGUCGGGGAUCCCAGAUCGAUUCUCUGGCUCCAAGUCUGGCAGCUCAUCCACCCUGACCAUCACUGGGCUCCAGGCUGAGGACGAGGUGGAUUAUUACUGUGCAGCCUGGGACUGGAGUCUCAAUGCUCACAGUGCUCCAGGCAUGAGGGGAACUGAGACAAAAACCCACUUGCUCAUCUGGACCCCAGCUCGGGUCUCUGGCUCUGACGCUGGGAACGUGGCCUCUCUGACCUUCUUGAGCCUGCAGCCUGAGGACAAGGCUGAGUGGUACCAUUCAACCUGGGAUGACAGCAUCAACAAUGACAUCGUGCUACAGGCCCAAGGGGACCUGAGACACAACCUGCCCCUGUUCCCUGGGCCACUCCCAUGA
Non-coding RNA from Ailuropoda melanoleuca (giant panda), 690 nucleotides. Lineage: Eukaryota; Metazoa; Chordata; Mammalia; Carnivora; Ursidae. The record is from the annotation of a RefSeq genome assembly.